GUUGGGCACGGUGGUGCAUGCCUGUAAUCCCUGUGGCUUAGGAGGCUGAGACAGGAGGAUCACAAAUUCAAAGCCAGCCUCAGCAAUGGCGAGGUGCUAAGCAACUCAGUGAGACCCUGUCUCUA
RNAcentral lists this small RNA (125 nucleotides) under Marmota monax (woodchuck). Lineage: Eukaryota; Metazoa; Chordata; Mammalia; Rodentia; Sciuridae. The record is from RNAcentral.